UGAACCAGUACCGUGAGGGAAAGGCGAAAAGAACCCCUGUGAGGGGAGUGAAAUAGAACCUGAAACCGUCUACGUACAAGCAGUGGGAGCCUCCUUUGUGGGGUGACCGCGUACCUUUUGUAUAAUGGGUCAGCGACUUAAUGUUAGUAGCAAGGUUAACCGCAUAGGGGAGCCGUAGGGAAACCGAGUCUUAACUGGGCGUGUAGUUGCUAGCAUUAGACCCGAAACCGAGUGAUCUAGCCAUGGGCAGGUUGAAGGUUGAGUAACAUCAACUGGAGGACCGAACUCACUAACGUUGAAAA
Molecule: ribosomal RNA, 302 nt
Filed under: Salinivibrio kushneri
Lineage: Bacteria; Pseudomonadati; Pseudomonadota; Gammaproteobacteria; Vibrionales; Vibrionaceae
Description: bacterial LSU rRNA
Rfam family: Bacterial large subunit ribosomal RNA
Source: RNAcentral